ACGCUCGACACCUACGGGAGGCGGCAGUAGGGAAUCUUCCACAAUGGACGCAAGUCUGGUGGAGCAACGCCGCGUGAGUGAAGAAGGUCUUCGGAUCGUAAAACUACUGUUGUUAGAGAAGAACACGAGUGAGAGUAACUGUUCAUUCGAUGACGGUAUCUAACCAGCAAGUCACGGCUAACUACGUGUCAGCAGCCGCGGUAAUCUGAGCGGGCUGGCAAGGC
RNAcentral lists this ribosomal RNA (224 nucleotides) under uncultured bacterium. Its description in RNAcentral is "partial 16S ribosomal RNA". It matches the Rfam family "Bacterial small subunit ribosomal RNA", at positions 328 to 539 of the family's 1533-position model. The record is from RNAcentral.